Non-coding RNA from Pelobates cultripes (western spadefoot toad), 295 nucleotides. NCBI's taxonomy places the organism in Eukaryota, Metazoa, Chordata, Amphibia, Anura, Pelobatidae. The record is from the annotation of a GenBank genome assembly.
AUUCUCCAUAGUUGGUGGGUCACCUCGGCUGUGAACUGCAUACCCCUAUCCGAUAUGAUCUCCUGGGGGAACCCCACUCGAGAGAAUACUUUCAUUAAGGCCUCGGCCACUGUCUUGGCGUGGAUAUUAGAGAGGGCUACUGCUUCGGGGUACCAGGUGGCGUAGUCUACUAUGGUCAAGAUAUAUCUCUUGCCGGAGGGACUGGGUUUUGUUAAGGGGCCUACUAUAUCUACAGUCACUCUACUAAAUGGUUCGUCUAUGAUGGGCAGUGGGCACCAGAACAAAUUCAAUAAGC